GGGUCAGUAGGUUGGUCGUGCCACCGGUACGUACUGGUCUCACUGAUUCCUCCUUCCUGAAGAACCGUAAUGCCAUUAAUGUGGUGUUGCGGGGAAGCAGGACUGUUACUUUGAAAAAAUUAGAGUGUUUAAAGCAAGCUAACGCUUGAAUACAUUAGCAUGGAAUAAUGAAAUAGGACGAUCGAUCCUAUUUUGUUGGUUUCUAGGAUUGACGUA
Molecule: ribosomal RNA, 216 nt
Filed under: Glomeromycotina sp.
Lineage: Eukaryota; Fungi; Glomeromycota
Description: partial small subunit ribosomal RNA
Rfam family: Eukaryotic small subunit ribosomal RNA (bases 40-216)
Source: RNAcentral